Mycetomoellerius zeteki is the source of this 696-nucleotide long non-coding RNA. RefSeq lists it as uncharacterized. The record is from RefSeq and is a predicted model, not a curated record. The transcript is spliced from 4 exons. NCBI's taxonomy places the organism in Eukaryota, Metazoa, Arthropoda, Insecta, Hymenoptera, Formicidae.
UCACUAGAAAACACAGGGUGUAUUCCGAACCGAAUUAGUUUAGCUUAUUUUUUUUCCUAGUUGUUUCCGUAACUAAACCGAAAAGUGUUCCAAACCCGUUACGUUUAACCUACAAAUUGUUUAACUAUUGCCUAUAGGCAGUAAAUGUCGUUAGUAACAACAGAAAAAAUGUAUCAUUUAGAAAUUCGAGACCACAAUGAAAAAAUGUAUAAUUUUCUGGUGACAAAAACCGUUUAUGAUUUAGCUCAUAAUGAUCUAUCAUAUGCAGAAAAAUUUUUGAUAAUGCAAAAGCAAAAAUAUUAUUUCGAAACAAAUCUGCAAUAAAUGACGAAACACACGAUAAUAAAGUAUUAAAGUUAACAAAUGGGUCAAAUACUAUUGAACUUCAUGUACCAAAUAAUAUUUUUAAACGUGCUACAAUGAUCCACAGUUUGGUGUACAACUGUUUAAUAAAUACAAUAAAGAAAUACUCAAGCAAAAGUCUCAUUGUAUAGGCACAAAUGUUUCUGAAGAUAGAGCUAAUGAAAAUAGACAGUUUGAUAAUUAUGAUGGAAGUGAAAAUAAUGAAAAUAUGGCUACGUGUAACACUACAGGUGCUUUGAGGCAUCAUUGGUCUACAGAGCAAACAAAAUUGCUAUUAUUUCUAUUUCGUCAACUAAGUAAAGAAAAAAUGACACAACCGCUUUUGAAAAUAUC